AAAGAUUAAGCCAUGCAUGUCUAUGCACACGCCCUUGAUUGGUGAAGCCGCGAAAAGCUCAUUACAACAGCCAUAGUUUAUUGGAUCUUUACGUUCCUACAAGGAUACCUGCGGUAAUUCUGGAGCUAAUACUUGCGAAAAACGACGACCUUACGGAAGUCGUGCAUUUGUUAGACUAAACCAAUCGGUGCUUCGGCACCGUCAUUUGGUGAACUCUGAAUAACUCAGCUGAUCGCACAGUCUCGUACUGGCGACAAAUCCUUCAAGUGUCUGCCUUAUCAACUGUCGAUGGUAGUUUACACGACUACCAUGGUUGUAACGGGUAACGGAGAAUAAGGGUUCGACUCCGGAGAGGGAGCCUGAGAAACGGCUACCACAUCCAAGGAAGGCAGCAGGCGCGCAAAUUACCCACUCUCAGUACGAGGAGGUAGUGACGAAAAAUAACGAGGUGGCCCUCUUUGAGGUCCAUCAUCGGAAUGGGUACAAUUUAAAUCCUUUAACGAGGAUCUAUUGGAGGGCAAGUCUGGUGCCAGCAGCCGCGGUAAUUCCAGCUCCAAUAGCGUAUACUAAAGUUGUUGCGGUUAAAAAGCUCGUAGUUGGAUCUGCGCCAGGUGAAAGCGGUCGCCCGAUGGGUUGUUACUGCUUCUCCCUGGCUAACCCUUCGGUUUUCCCUUCAUGCUCUUAAGUGAGUGUCCUGGGUGACCGGAACGUUUACUUUGAAAAAAUUAGAGUGCUCAAAGCAGGCAUUUCGCCCGAAUAUUCGUGCAUGGAAUAAUAAAAGAGGUCCCUGUAGCCUUUUAUUGGUUAUCGCUACGAGGAAAUGAUCGAAGGGGACAGACGGGGGCAUUUGUAUUGCGACGUUAGAGGUGAAAUUCUUGGAUCGUCGCAAGACAAACUACUGCGAAAGCAUUUGCCAAGAAUGUUUUCAUCAAUCAAGAACGAAAGUCUGAGGUUCGACAGCGAUCAGAUACCGCUUUAGUUCAGACCGUAAACGAUGCCAUCUGGCGAUCCGCCGGCGUUAUGCUUGACCCGGCGGGCAGCCACCGGUAAACCUUUAAGUGGGGUUCCGGGGGAAGUAUGGUUGCAAAGCUGAAACUUAAAGGAAUUGACGGAAGGGCACCACCAGGAGUGGAGCCUGCGGCUUAAUUUGACU
This 1153-nucleotide ribosomal RNA is filed under the name Paratrichodorus renifer. RNAcentral describes it as "SSU rRNA". It matches the Rfam family "Eukaryotic small subunit ribosomal RNA", at positions 39 to 1200 of the family's 1831-position model. The record is from RNAcentral. Lineage: Eukaryota; Metazoa; Nematoda; Enoplea; Triplonchida; Trichodoridae.